CAGGAUCCAAAGAAAAAAUAUGACGUAUAGCAAGAUAAACUUUUAAUGAAGGAACAAAAAGAUUCAACUUCCUCAAAUGCAACAGGAGCAAAAGGCUUUUGAACUAGAACCACCCAAUCUGUAAUCAUGGUUGGUGAUCCUCCAAGCCGUGAGGUGAAGACUCUGGAUGCAAGAUUGAGCCUCGUUCCAUGGUGAGCAGAUCUGGAAAGUUGGACAGGGACACAUGACUACCAUUGGAUAGAACCAGCAGUGUGGAGAACCAAGCCAGCUGAGGCCACCAUGGUGCAAUGACAAUCUGCAUGGCAGAGGGCCAGAUGUGACUGAGGCACCAAGUGACACCAAGACACCAAAUGUGACUGAGGCACCAAGUGACACCCAAGGGCCGGAUGUGACUGAGGCACCACUGACUUGGUGACUGGCACCAAGUCCAAAUUUCCAAGGCUAGCUGGCACAGUGCAGAUGAGUGUGUUCUGCCUUGGUGAUUCAAGUAGGACAUCACCAUCACAUUGUUAAUCAUGACCAAUACAGAAGUGCCUUUCAACAGUGGUAGGAAUGAUUUCGUGGUUUUCCAGAUGGCUAAGAGUUUGAGUUGGUUGAUGUGGAACUUGUAUUUGUGGUCAUUCCAAUGUCCAGCCACACUAUGGUUGGCCUGUGUGCGCAUCCAGUUUGAAGAAUCUGUUGUAAAAGACAUUGUGGCCAGAAGCAGGAUAAAUGGCCUGCCUUCGAGUAGGUUGGAGACCUUGGACCACAAAUGUAUAAACCGAUAACUAUCAUCUGGAAUCAGGAGCUGUGCGGGGGGUGGGGUGUAGUCCUCCUGUGGGUGAAAGAUGGACAGGAACCAUUGUCAUAAUGGACUCAUUCGAAGGUGAGCCAGCAAUAGGAUGCUGGUAGUGGAUGCCAUAAAGCCCAGCAUCUUCUGAAUGGACCGCGCUGGAUGUUUCUGUAAGGCCAAGAUUUUGUGGGCCAUGGCCCUGAUGUCAGUAAUUCUUCAGGAUGGCAGAGAAGCUAGCAUAUUUUGUGAGUCGAGAAUUGUGCCUAAAAACUCUAUAGUCCUUUGUAGGUGUUAAAUUUGACUUCUCCCAAUUAAUAGAUACCUAGAUGGUCUGAAAGUGUCAAUGUGGUCUGAAUAUACUGAUGCAAGCUCUCUCUGGACUAUGACACUGAGAGCCAAUCAUCCAAAAAUGGAAAUUGAUGAAUGGUCUGCUGAUGAAGAUGGGCUACCAUGACCAUGCACUUGGAAAAGACUUUGGAGAAGUGGAAAGGCCUCCUGAUGCAAAAACAAAGGAAUUUCCUGUGGAUAGGACCCCUUAGCCCACUUGAUUGAGGACAAAGAAUACGACCUGGAAUGGGACCUAUAAUGCCUUGGGAAGUAUGCACAUCUAUGAACUUGCUCUCUAUUGUCUGGUUCCCAGUAUAGUCACCUAUGGAAAGGUAAUGACACCAUGGGUUCCAUCCGUACCUAUUCCACAUGCCUAUUGUAAUAAUAAUUGGAGUAGCUUGGGAACCGUCUAUAGCGUCAUUCAGGUGAUCCCUAUU
Hemicordylus capensis (graceful crag lizard) is the source of this 1536-nucleotide long non-coding RNA. RefSeq lists it as uncharacterized. The transcript is spliced from 4 exons. Lineage: Eukaryota; Metazoa; Chordata; Lepidosauria; Squamata; Cordylidae. The record is from RefSeq and is a predicted model, not a curated record.